CUAAUCUAGCAUCAUGGUCAAAAGGAUGCAGAUAAUGUGGGCAGUGAUGCAUACCUAUCAAAACCCAUUAGAACUUGACGAAAGAAUUCGUAAGUUAUAAGUAAAAGGGGGGACUGAAACAGGAG
Neopelma chrysocephalum (saffron-crested tyrant-manakin) is the source of this 125-nucleotide long non-coding RNA. RefSeq lists it as uncharacterized. Lineage: Eukaryota; Metazoa; Chordata; Aves; Passeriformes; Pipridae. The transcript is spliced from 3 exons. The record is from RefSeq and is a predicted model, not a curated record.